Molecule: ribosomal RNA, 471 nt
Filed under: uncultured Alphaproteobacteria bacterium
Lineage: Bacteria; Pseudomonadati; Pseudomonadota; Alphaproteobacteria
Description: bacterial SSU rRNA
Rfam family: Bacterial small subunit ribosomal RNA
Source: RNAcentral
GAGUUUGAUCGUGGCUCAGAGCGAACGCUGGCGGCAGGCCUAACACAUGCAAGUCGAACGCCCGUGGCAACACGGGAGUGGCAGACGGGAGAGUAACACGUGGGAACGUACCCUUUGGUUCGGAACAACCCAGGGAAACUUGGGCUAAUACCGGAUAAGCCCUCACGGGGAAAGAUUUAUCGCCGAAGGAUCGGCCCGCGUCUGAUUAGCUAGUUGGUGGGGUAACGGCCCACCAAGGCGACGAUCAGUAGCUGGUCUGAGAGGAUGAUCAGCCUCACUGGGACUGAGACACGGCCCAGACUCCUACGGGAGGCAGCAGUGGAGAAUAUUGGACAAUGGGCGCAAGCCUGAUCCAGCCAUGCCGCGUGGGUGAUGAAGGCCCUAGGGUUGUAAAGCCCUUUCGGCGGGGAAGAUAAUGACGGUACCCGCAGAAGAAGCCCCGGCUAACUUCGUGCCAGCCGCCGCCGUAAC